RNAcentral lists this ribosomal RNA (497 nucleotides) under uncultured bacterium. RNAcentral describes it as "partial 16S ribosomal RNA". It matches the Rfam family "Bacterial small subunit ribosomal RNA", at positions 28 to 507 of the family's 1533-position model. The record is from RNAcentral.
GAUGAACGCUGGCGGCGUGCCUAAUACAUGCAAGUCGAGCGAACGGACGAGAAGCUUGCUUCUUUGAUGUUAGCGGCGGACGGGUGAGUAACACGUGGAUAACCUACCUAUAAGACUGGGAUAACUUCGGGAAACCGGAGCUAAUACCGGAUGAUAUUUUGAAGCGCAGGGUUCAAAAGUGAAAGACGGUCUUGCUGUCACUUAUAGAUGGAUCCGCGCUGCAUUAGCUAGUUGGUAAGGUAACGGCUUACCACGGCAACGAUGCAUAGCCGACCUGAGAGGGUGAUCGGCCACACUGGAACUGAGACACGGUCCAGACUCCUACGGGAGGCAGCAGUAGGGAAUCUUCCGCAAUGGGCGAAAGCCUGACGGAGCAACGCCGCGUGAGUGAUGAAGGUCUUCGGAUCGUAAAACUCUGUUAUUAGGGAAGAACAUAUGUGUAAGUAACUGUGCACAUCUUGACGGUACCUAAUCAGAAAGCCACGGCUAACUACGUG